Molecule: long non-coding RNA, 766 nt
Organism: Cyprinus carpio carpio
Lineage: Eukaryota; Metazoa; Chordata; Actinopteri; Cypriniformes; Cyprinidae
Source: Ensembl
UACCAUUUCUCCUGAAAGGCAAGAGGUGGGGCCUGUCUAGCCUUUAUAGCCAGGAUUACUCGAGUUGACGUUAACACAUCGUUUUCAGAGUCAAAAGAUAUCAGCAGAAAUGAGGGGUGAGAUGACUAUAAAUGUGUUUAAAUUAAAUUAAAUUAAAGCCUUCAACCUGUAUAUGCAUGUAUAUAAAUGUGUUUUAUUUACAGCAUUGCCUGAAUGUACAGUACAUAACUUUCUUUUACGUGUUUUAGACCUUGUAAUCAUAAGCCUCUUGGUAUGUGCAUUUGAAGAAGACAGGGUUUUUUCCUGGAGUGGUUUGGGAAACGACAGUCAAGUUGACACCAAUGAGAAUGCAUGUCUGACUGAUGUGGUGUCAUGUGGAUGCUGCCUGAUGCAAAAUCAGAUCUGGAAGCUCGAGAUGUUUUUCAACAUGACAUUAAAUGAGCUGCAGAGGAACAUGAAGAGAGCUCAUUCAGUGUUAAACAAUAUUUGUGCCAGUCGCAGUGCCUUCUCUGUGGCUCUUACUGACAAACGCCUCUGUGUUGGCCCAAAUCGUGAAGACUCUGUGGUGAAGUAUAGCAGUGUAUUAGUUAACUUGGGAGAGUGCUAUAGCACCGACACUGGUGCUUUUGUAGCACCACGUUCUGGUAUCUAUAGCCUGGCUCAAACACUUUAUAGCAGGCAUGGGCAAACUCUGUCCUGGAGGGCCGAUGUCCCUGCAGAGUUUAGCUCCAACCCUGAUAAAACUCACUUGCCUGUAGCCUUCUAG